Corapipo altera (White-ruffed manakin) is the source of this 85-nucleotide small nucleolar RNA. NCBI's taxonomy places the organism in Eukaryota, Metazoa, Chordata, Aves, Passeriformes, Pipridae. The record is from RefSeq and is a predicted model, not a curated record.
UCUCUCUGAUGUCUCAGUAGAUCAUCCUUACCAUUCACUUUGUGUGCUCAGUAGAAUAGAUUGGAAGAGACCUAUGGCUGAGAGA